Molecule: long non-coding RNA, 4132 nt
Organism: Athene cunicularia (burrowing owl)
Lineage: Eukaryota; Metazoa; Chordata; Aves; Strigiformes; Strigidae
Exons: 3
Source: RefSeq, a predicted model, not a curated record
CACACACACACUCACGCUACAUCCCUCCCGUUCUGUUGCACUUAAGUCCAGAUUAGCUCUGACCAUUCCUGCACGCAAGCAGAGACCAACACAACACCACGGUGCCUAAGACCAUAGAAACUGCCACAGAGGUGGGGGCAGAGAUCGUCUUCAAGGUUGCUGUCAUCUGGAAUUUUAUGUCCUUCAUUUUCUUUCACUCUGUAUGCCUGUCACAUCGGCUUAACUACCAGAGAAGACCCCAUUUGCCUUAAAGCCGGCCUGAUUUCUUCCAGCCUUGUUAGCUGAUACAAAGAAAGAAGAUACUACUUCCUACAGUCCUAGGCAGUACUCUGCAAGUCACCUUGGAGAUCGGAAAGACUGUGGAGCUUUCUGGGAAGAAACUUUCUUUUGUUUUUAUUUCUGCCCUCCAAGCCAUGUAAUUAAUGCUGCACAAGCACAGAUAUACAUAACUCUUACAAGUGACUUUUUCAGAAUCAGUGCCAAAAAUGCAACCUACCGUGAUUUGUGUUUUUAAACUGCAUAGCAGAGGCUGAUCAGCACUGCAUCUGUAGUCUAGAGGCAAACUCCUUUGCUCAUACAGGCAAAUUACAGGUCUGGUUGAACAGCAAGAACAAGCUCUUAACUCCUACAGGAUUUUCUCUACUGCCAGGUCCAGUUCUAUAAAAUAUGACCUUCAAAUGGAGGGGGGGAGCCCUAAUUCUUUUCUGAGUCACAUAUGCCAAAUUUCAAAGCUUUAUGCUUGGGCUCUACCCACAUUGAGACAGAUACUGCAUGUUACUCUCUCUUCCUCAUCUUCACACACUUUUAUCACUGAGAUGCAGUUCUACAUUUAGAAUGAGUUGCACUGAGAUGCAGUCUCUUUAGAAAGAGGUAGUCUGAGAGACUGUAUCUCCACUUUCUUCAGUAAAGUGUAGCCAUACAGACAUUACAAACAGUAUAAUUUCUUUUGGUCUUUCCUUUUCUUAGAAAUAUUGGUUUAUAAUGGGUUAAAAAUCUGCUGCUAAGCAGUGACCAUUUUAAGGUGUAUUCUUCUCCCCUGCUGAUUUGCCCUCUGACCUUCUGGGGGCCAGGGCAGCUGCAGACUUCAUUUUUACUCUAUUUCCUGGUCUCUCUCCUGGCUGUGCACUCAAUGUUUCCACAGCAGAUUAAUGACAGCUAAUAAUAUCUGAUAUAUCUGGACAUUGCCACAUAAUGAGUUGCAGUCCCACUGGGUGCCCAAAGUGUCACUACUAACAAAUUCACCAGAGCUGCACAUAAUUAGCAUGUAAAGGGAGUGAUCAUGCAGUAAAUCUGGAGGGGAAGAUGGAUAGCCCAUGAGGAAAAAAUAUAAGGAAAAAAUACUGUUCUUAACACUCAUUGGUAAAUGAAUGUUUCUUGCCAUGAAUAUUUUCUUGAUAACAAACUGUGGACAGGUUACCUUUACAGUAACAUUAUUCCUUCCACGGCUGAUAGGCAGAAUUUCAUUAUGCCACUGCUAAUGUUACAAUAUUUCUGCAAAAUGUCACCAUAUGUAAAUUAGAAGAGGUUAGGGUUUUCGUCUUAGUUUUCUUUCAAGAUGCACUGUCCCUUUCUGCUCUGGCCUAAUUCCUUCCUCUAUUAGUUUACAGACAUGCUAACAUUUCCUCAACCUUGCAAAAUAAAAACCGUCAUUAGAGGAUCUUCCAUCUCCAGGAGCUAAACAGAAAUGAAGAAACUCAACACAUGACAGAGGGAGCAAAGAUACAAAGUAGAAAUUAGUUUACUUGAUGAGGUUUUUAUCCAAGUAUAAUCUUUCCUGACAUGUCAGAAAACGCCCAAUAAAGAAAAACAGGAUGCAUGGACAGUGUGAGUUACCUGACCUGAUCUGGACACAGGUGAUCAGCUGCCUUCCCAUCACAUGCUAACUUGCUGCCUGCAGUCUGGAUGUGUGCAGGCAAAGAGGCUUUCCCAGGAGAAGGAGGUUGACAAAGAGCAGAUGAAUUGUCCUGACGGGCUGUACUCAGCCUGAAGAGCCCUAAACUGGACAGCUCUGCUCUAGUUUAAGUCAUUCAUUUCUCCUCAUUAGAAACCAUUGCUCACCAAUGCUAAAGACUUCAUUUUGGUUUGAGGUUGUGUCAUUUACAGGCCUUUUGCUUCUUUGACAUCUGGGUGGGAACACUUGCAUUUAUGUGAAUCCAGCUUUGAGGUUUAUUUGGGCAAUUGGCCAAAACGUGGUUAAUUCAAAGUAGUAAUAGUAGUAGUAGUAGUAGUAGUAUUUUGCUGAACAGAGAGACCUUUGCCCUGAAGGCUUCAGCCUUUAAAUUGUUCUUGCUCAUAAGGCACUUCUGUCAUUUGAGCAGGGAACGAAGUCAAAAAGGAAGCCUCACUUCAAAAAAAUAAACCCAAAUCCCAACAAACAAACAAACAAACAAGUCUAUCACAUGUAUAUUUUCCCAUGAUAAAUAGUUAUUUAGAGAUGUGAAAAAUUCUUAAAGUCUCACUCUAUUCUCUGUAGCUGCCUUCUGCAGAGAGCGAGCUUGGCCAGGAGACCCUUGUGAACCUCAGACUGAGCAAGCAUGAGGUGACUCGUAACCCAUUUUAAUAUCAAAAGCAGAAAUUGCACAGAGCUCAGGUACUAGACCCUGUUUGCAAUGUCGAUGAGCACUAUCAAUAAACCUCAGCACUUUUAAGAGUGUGAACUGCUACUCAGCAGUGCAGGGAAACACCCUGGAAAUAACAGUAGCUGCUCCUGUCCACUACUGCAUUCCUGCUUCUGCCAUUAACUCAUGGGCCCCUCAGAUCAAAGCUCUGAAAGUUUCUGUAUUUGCCACUCAUACUGCAUUUCAUGCUGGCUUGUGUUCUGUUGGAGAACCAACUUUCGGAGUCACGCCACUAUAGCUUUUAUCCUUUUCUUAAAAAGAAAGUUUCCAAACUGGAUGUUGCACAGAAAAGUAUAAACUCUAGAGGCUCAAAAAAGCACACAGUUAAUUAAGAAGUGAGAAUUUAUUUUAAAAAUCCCACAAGUUUUGCACCUUAGAAAGGGCAAUCCUACUGUUUUGGGGUUUUUUGAGGGGGAGUGGGGGGAAUAAAUUAAAACCCUUUAAACUCUUCCUAAUAACAAUUUUAAUUUUGAAUCCCUUGUUCUAUUACCAUCUCUUUGCAAUCCAUAUGGUAACUCUCAGCACAGUUACUCAUUUCAAAAUUCACCUUCCCACAUAAUUUCCUUGUAUACAAAAACCCCUAAAUUAACAAAAAAAAACCCCAAAAAAACAAACAAAAAACCACCAGCCCAAACCCAAGAAUGCUUAUACUGUUCACCUUGUUUUUAAUGAAAGAACGAAGCUCACAGACUAUCCUGUUCCCACAGGGGCCUUUUUUUAUGCAGUCUUAAUGAUAAUUAACUGACAGUGAUUGAUGGCCAGUGCUGAGGUAAUAGAAGAUACAACUGUACCAUUCUAUCGAAUUCACUUUUUCAUUUUUUUAUGAGUACUUGCUUAUUUCUGAGUAACAUCAAAUUAAUUAUUUGUCCAAUUUCAAUUUUGCAUUUAAAGUUCAUCUGAAACAUAUUUGCCCAACUGAUCUGUCACCUUGCUGACUGGGGUUUCAUACUCUCCAAUUUCAUUCUGUGUCAAGCUCAUGGAAGGCAAAUACUUUUGCAUUAGAAAUACAGGAAAACACAUAUAUUUCCACAUUUUGUAGGUAAAAGUAUUUCUACUGGAAAAUGGGCCCCAGAGCACUGAGGCCAUACAGAAUUUUUGAAUAUGUCCACGUGGAAUUUUAUUGAAGGGAGUAUGAGUCUUUUUUAGCUUAAUUUCAAAAUAUUGUUGUUAGCAUUGCAGACAUCUCUAGGGGUAUUUUUAUAUGCAGUGAACCGUUUUAUUACAAAAUCACCUUUGCUGAAAACCUCCCAGAGUCUCACAUCCAACUUUGGUCUUGUUAAAUCUCACAGCAUCUCAUACAUUGUCUAGAAUGACUACAUGAAAUGACUACAUUUUAUGCUUUAUUCUUUAAAUUCACUGUUUUAAAUAAUUGUUUCCAUUACACUGGUUGUGUCAGCCUGACAAUUUUGUAUAUAUAUCAACUGUUUUAAAAGCUUUUUGAAGAGGUCUAUUGCUUUACCUGGAAAAUGGUCCAAUUUGAAAUAUCUGCUACACAGAAGACCUCAUGUUUUAAA